This 68-nucleotide transfer RNA is filed under the name Hyphessobrycon pulchripinnis. RNAcentral's name for it is "tRNA-Ser". Lineage: Eukaryota; Metazoa; Chordata; Actinopteri; Characiformes; Acestrorhamphidae. The record is from RNAcentral.
GAGGAGGGUCCUGAGACAGCAAAAACUGCUAAUUUUUGUACCCACGGCUAAACUCCGUGGCCCCCUCG